UUCUUGCAAUCAAUAAGAAGUAAUUCCUGCCCAGUGAUAUUAUUCAACGGCCGCGGUAUCCUAACCGUGCAAAGGUAGCAUAAUCACUUGCCCAUUAAUUGUGGGCUAGAAUGAACGGACCAACGAAAUAAAAACUGUCUCUAUAAGCCUCAUAAAAAUUAAUCUCUAACUGAAGAGUGUUAGAUUAAAUCGAAGGACAAGAAGACCCUAUAGAGCUUCAUUUUAAUAAAGACUUAAACUUUAAUAAAAUUCGGUUGGGGCGACCAGGGAAAACUAAUCAUCCCUUAUUAAAAGAUAAAUAAAUCUAAAUACUGACCCUUAGAAAGAUCACAAGAACAAGCUACCUUAGGGAUAACAGGCUAAUCCUAUUAAAGAGUCCUUAUCAAUAAUAGGGGUUGGCACCUCGAUGUUGGCUUAGGGAAUCUAUGUGGCGCAAAAGUCACAUAAAGAUGGUUUGUUCAACCAAUAACACCCUACAUGAGCUGAGUUCAGACCGGCGUAAGCCAGGUUAGUUUCUAUCCUCGAUAAAAUAAUCUAUUUAUAGUACGAAAGGACCUAAAUAAGAAUAAUAAUUAUAAUAAAAGAAAUAAUAUAAUAUAAAUUUAAAAUACACAUUACAUAAACUAUG
RNAcentral lists this ribosomal RNA (628 nucleotides) under Allolobophora chlorotica. Its description in RNAcentral is "partial 16S ribosomal RNA". It matches the Rfam family "Bacterial large subunit ribosomal RNA", at positions 1820 to 2827 of the family's 2925-position model. The record is from RNAcentral. Lineage: Eukaryota; Metazoa; Annelida; Clitellata; Crassiclitellata; Lumbricidae.